AUGACGCUACUGCAACCGUCAACUGGUUCAGACUUUUCAGUUCCUUCAGAUGUGGUCAUAAUUAAUGGAUUUAGAUACUUCAAUCGCCUACCACAACGGCUAACUCCUUAUCAACAGCUCCACCGACCAACAAUUUAUUUCAGCUGCCAUUAACUAUCAUUCAACGCA
RNAcentral lists this unclassified non-coding RNA (168 nucleotides) under Ceratitis capitata (Mediterranean fruit fly). RNAcentral describes it as "mucin-5AC, transcript variant X2". Lineage: Eukaryota; Metazoa; Arthropoda; Insecta; Diptera; Tephritidae. The record is from RNAcentral.